This 226-nucleotide long non-coding RNA is filed under the name Elaeis guineensis (African oil palm). RNAcentral describes it as "long non-coding RNA (EGUI_LNC003980)". The record is from RNAcentral. Lineage: Eukaryota; Viridiplantae; Streptophyta; Magnoliopsida; Arecales; Arecaceae.
GGAAGCUUAGAUUAUGAUUUUGACUCCAUUCUUAGCCGACCGAUAUUUUUUAUUUUCAGUAUUUUUGAGUAAAAGCCCUUGCUCUAUAAAUUUAUCCUAGAGGAGUUUGUGAUUUACCUUCCUCUCCUCCAACUUCAAAUUCUCCACUUCUGACAAGGUCUCUCGAGUUUCAACAGAUAGUUCUGAAGACGUCUGAACCCCUUUAGAAGCAGAGCACCCAUCUCCC